Molecule: long non-coding RNA, 569 nt
Organism: Trichomycterus rosablanca
Lineage: Eukaryota; Metazoa; Chordata; Actinopteri; Siluriformes; Trichomycteridae
Exons: 3
Source: RefSeq, a predicted model, not a curated record
GACCCGGGUAUUGUAGAUAACAGUAUCUGCCUACAUUUACAUCAGCACAUAAGGAUGGGUUUUUCAUAUUCUUGUUCAUGAUAGUAGCAGCAAGUUUCAGUACAUUGCUUUACAACCACAUCCACAGAAUGUUACUGUUUUUGUAGAUAACUCAGAUAACUACAUAUUCUAAAUCAUUUCAUUCUAGGACUAUGCUGUAAAAGAGAAAAUUACAAGGAGGCCUGGAUCUGGGAAACUUAAAUAACUAGUGAAUCAGACGGGCCAUGCCAAUCCAUCUUAAGGCAGUCUGAGCUACUAAAAUAAUGAAAUUAAAAAGAGAGAAGAUCUGUCUGCGUCAGUGCUUUAGUGCAGAUGAAGGUGGCCGAACAGAUUUCCCCAUGAAGGAGGUCCAGAAAGUGUACUUCACCAGCAAAUUCAACAAUGUGGACAAGCUAGGAAAACAAGAGGUGUAAUUCAUGUCACAAUUCACACCCCACAUACACUCAGACAUAGGACACAUCCAAGCACCCAAUACUGCCAUAAUUAAAUGCAUAAGGAAUGAUUAUAAAUUAGAUUUUUCAUUAUGUAUG